Molecule: long non-coding RNA, 680 nt
Organism: Passer domesticus (house sparrow)
Lineage: Eukaryota; Metazoa; Chordata; Aves; Passeriformes; Passeridae
Exons: 3
Source: RefSeq, a predicted model, not a curated record
UCUGAAUGGGAACAGCUGCUGACAAACUGUAGUGCAUUUCUCUUCUAUGGGAUGGAGAGAUUCAUGUCUCACGUGUUGCUUCAUUGGUUGGUUGCUAUGAACAUGCCAAAAUGCCGUUUGGUGUUUCUUCUUGAUCUGGUAAGAUCACAGCAAAGUUACCAAAGAAUUGCAAACUCUGAUUCCCACAAAAGACCAUGCUGAUUUUUCAGAAAACCUGAUUAUACUCUUGAGGGACGAGACACCUUGCAGAGGGAUGUAGAUAGAUGGGAGCAUUGGGCAGUUGACAGUGACAUUAAAUUUAGCAAGAGCAAAUGACAGACUCUUCACUGGUGACAAAGUAAUGCUGGACACAAGUGUAAAUCUGGAGAGGGACAGCCGGAGAGCAGCCCUGCAGAAAGGCACUUGAGGCUGAGCCAGCACCGUGCCUGGGCAGCAACUGAGCAAAGCACAUCCUAUGGACAUAAGUAUCUCUUGACUUUUCUAAUUAUUCAUUCCAUAAAAAAGAAAUAGAAAAAAACCUAAAAAAUACUUUUUAAUUAGUGCAACAAUGCAUAAGGUAAAUCUAGUUGUCUGUGAAAUAGGUUAUACACAUAUCUACAUAUGGAAAUAUGCAGAUAUGUGAGUGUAUAAACAAACUCAUGGUAUUUUUAUAUCCUUUUUGAUCCCAGCCAUUUCCUAAA